RNAcentral lists this unclassified non-coding RNA (374 nucleotides) under uncultured Gammaproteobacteria bacterium. RNAcentral describes it as "contains 16S-23S intergenic spacer region". The record is from RNAcentral. Lineage: Bacteria; Pseudomonadati; Pseudomonadota; Gammaproteobacteria.
UCCGGUUUGUCACCGGCAGUCUCCCUAGAGUGCCCUUGCGUAGCAACUAGGGACAAGGGUUGCGCUCGUUGCGGGACUUAACCCAACAUCUCACGACACGAGCUGACGACAGCCAUGCAGCACCUGUGUUCCGAUUCCCUUUCGGGCACACUCACCUCUCAGCGAGCUUCCGGACAUGUCAAGGGUAGGUAAGGUUGUUCGCGUUGCAUCGAAUUAAUCCACAUCAUCCACCGCUUGUGCGGGUCCCCGUCAAUUCCUUUGAGUUUUAACCUUGCGGCCGUACUCCCCAGGCGGGCAACUUCACGCGUUAGCUACGGUACUGAUCGGGUCAAUCCGACCAACACCUAGUUCACAACGUUUAGGGCGUGGACUAC